RNAcentral lists this ribosomal RNA (265 nucleotides) under uncultured soil bacterium. RNAcentral describes it as "partial 16S ribosomal RNA". It matches the Rfam family "Bacterial small subunit ribosomal RNA", at positions 26 to 280 of the family's 1533-position model. The record is from RNAcentral.
AGAAUCAACGCUGGCGGCGUGCCUAACACAUGCAAGUCGAACGCGAAAGUGGAGCAAUCCAUGAGUAGAGUGGCAAACGGGUGAGUAACGCGUGGUGAUUUGCCUCAGGGUGGGGGAUAACCUUCCGAAAGGAGGGCUAAUACCGCAUGACAUGGCGCUUUUAGACGAGCGCACAUCAAAGCUGGAACCGCAAGGUCUGGCGCCUGGAGAGAAGCCCGCGUCCGAUUAGCUAGUUGGUGGGGUAAUGGCUCACCAAGGCGACGAU